Molecule: long non-coding RNA, 373 nt
Filed under: Mytilus galloprovincialis (Mediterranean mussel)
Lineage: Eukaryota; Metazoa; Mollusca; Bivalvia; Mytilida; Mytilidae
Source: RNAcentral
AUUAGAUGCAUAUUCAGCACACGAGUUAAGAAGUCCAGAAUUAUAGACUUUAAAAGUAGAAUUAAAGGAGACAUCUGUUAUUUAUUGAUUCUCCUUUUAUAAAUACCUGUACAUAAUAGCAUGUGCAGCUGUAUAUUAUAAAACAGUAUAUGUUCUGGUUAUUUAACUGGAUAGAAUAAUGCCAUCUGUUACUUCACAAUCGUUUAAUAAACAUGUGACCGAACUAUGAACCACAUAAAAUCUAGUAAAUAAGGACAACAUGAAAUGAAAGAACUGCAGGAUUUGUUGUUCGGUUAUCAUAACCAAAACCUUACAUAUGUUGACCAACAUUCUUGAAAAGGGUCAGUUUAGUUUGAAUUUUACCUAAAUGCAU